GCUUCAGACAGGUUUCCUGCACUAAUAG
This 28-nucleotide small RNA is filed under the name Bombyx mori (domestic silkworm). RNAcentral's name for it is "ovarian small RNA-17146". The record is from RNAcentral. Lineage: Eukaryota; Metazoa; Arthropoda; Insecta; Lepidoptera; Bombycidae.